This is a transfer RNA of 74 nucleotides. It matches the Rfam family "tRNA". From Rfam's summary of the family: Transfer RNA (tRNA) molecules are approximately 80 nucleotides in length. Their secondary structure includes four short double-helical elements and three loops (D, anti-codon, and T loops). Further hydrogen bonds mediate the characteristic L-shaped molecular structure. tRNAs have two regions of fundamental functional importance: the anti-codon, which is responsible for specific mRNA codon recognition, and the 3' end, to which the tRNAs corresponding amino acid is attached (by aminoacyl-tRNA synthetases). tRNAs cope with the degeneracy of the genetic code in two manners: having more than one tRNA (with a specific anti-codon) for a particular amino acid; and 'wobble' base-pairing, i.e. permitting non-standard base-pairing at the 3rd anti-codon position. The record is from Rfam.
UCACCCGUAGCUCAGUUGGUUAGAGCAUCAGACUGUUAAUCUGGGUGUCGACGGUUCGACCCCGUCCGGGUGAG